UAGGAUGCCAGCAUUACCUUGGUUGUCCAUGGGUAUCUUUUAUCCUUCACGAACAGCUCUAAAAAGCAAAGUCCUUAUUUCCAGGGCUGGGCUGUCCUUGUGGUGCUUGUGAUGAGGUGGUGUCCUUUAGUUUGCUUUACUUAAACGUGAACAAUACUAAAGCCUCCAGUAAAAUUCCACUGCCUCAUUACAUUGCAGUGUAUAAUGUGAACUAGUAUAUGUUAACAAAGUUAAUAUGCUUUCAUACUAUAAAGACUGAUUGAUAAAAUAGUUAGGGAAGGAAAUUUUCAUAACAGUUUUGGGUAGAGCCUUGUAAAAUAGAGGUUUCUAAAGAAACAGAAAAAUAAUUCUAGCUAAAAAUAGUCCUGUUUUCCCCUAAAAUUAUUCUCAGUAAUUGUUAAAAGAUUUGAAUCUUUAAGAAACACCUAUUCAUCCUGAGGCAAAGAGCAUGCUUGUGAAAUCUCAUAUCAGAUUCAAUUUAGCCAAAAUUACAAGAGAGUGAGAACAGAGGCUCUGUGUAUAUAAAGUGAGGAAAGAUUUACCAGGGUGUAAAAGGAUCUCAAUCAUUAAAAAAUUAGAUGAAGAACAUGGCUGAAUUUUUCUUUAAUAAAAAACUUCUCAGGUAAUGAAUGCACUGACUCAGAACUGGCAUCUGAAUGGGUUGUAAUAAUGGAAGAACAGCUAUUUCGCCUUUUUCAUGCUUGUCUAGAAAUGAAGAUAAUUGCUUAUGCAGCCAUUAUAAGCUCAUUCAGAAAGUGUGAAUGCUCAUUUCUUUAAGUGACCUCUGAGAAAUGUGGUCAAAGUUCUAUGGCUAUAGUUAGACCAGACAAGCAGAGGGUUCCUUAUGGUAUGGCCCUUGCACUUACUGUUGUUUGAAAAGUAAUCAAAACAUUACCACAUUUCUUAUCACUACUUUCUGUAUUUUGUGUUGGUACAGUAAGGUUAAUGAAAGAAAUUAAAAUAUUCACAUAUUUAGUUCAAUCUUUGGGUUAAAAAUUUCUCCCAUUCAGACAUGUACUAGUCUUUGCACCAUCUGUAUUGAAUUUAGGACUAGAUUCCAAAAACAUUUGAGGCACAACUUAUGCAAAAUUUGAAUUUAUGCAUUUAUUUUAAAGGAGACAGCUUAGCUUAGUGUCACAGAAACACUAGGCCGACAGUGAUAUAUUUCAAAAGUCAAUUUUCUUUAAUGAUAUCAAAAUGCAAUGGUCAAAUUGAACAGGAAUGUUAUGUGAUACUGAGAUAUAACAGCCAGAUUGAACAGGAAUAUUAGGUUGUAAACACUGUGACAAACACAACUUAUUUACAGGUUCAGGAUGUCAGUUGGGAACUAUCACUACACAAACUGUAACCAAAUCUAAGUUUAGAAUGAUGACUCAAAAUGCGCAUAUCACUCACCGAUAAGGCAAGGCACUCAAUCCCGGGAAGUUUCCUUAGACGGUGUCCUGAUCUAAGGGGAGAGUCUGCGACUGCAGACCCGCUGCUCUGAGGAAGGCUGGCUCCAAGGGGUCUUCCGGAGGGCUCCAUUUAUACCCUAGGUCGGAUCAGGACUUGUGGUCAUAUAUGGUCAGGGGUCCAGAGACUUGUCUUGAUGGAAGUGUUUCGUUGGAUGAGGUGCUCCUGGUGGGCUCAGCUAGCUGGGGUAUGUGACUUGUGUCACUCUGUGUAGUGACUCCAGCCGCCACGCAGGCUGUGCGGCUGGAACCCCAAACUGCAGCUUCUAGUUUAACCCUUUCCAUUCAGCAAUCAAGAAGUUUUGGUCUUUAUUGGGGUGAGUGUACCUGCCACACUUAGCUUAAGAUAGGCAGCUCCUGACAGCUUCAAAUAAGUAUUGCGGAAUUUUUAUUAUACCACUUAAAUACACAUUUGUGCUUAAGUAUAAAGUGAUUUAGUGGACAAUGCAUCGGACAGAGUCCUACUGCCGUUAGCGGUUCUACAGGGAGUCUGCAAAAAUGUGGCAUAAGCCGAUUCCUUAUACACACUUGUGCCACCACCAGUCAUGUAAUUACAAAUCAAUACUGUAGCAUUUCUUAUUUUAUCAACAAGGGAAUUUGUUCUCCCUUAUAUAGAGUCGUUCAUCUCUGACAUUCCUGUUUCUAUUGUUUGACAUGGUUCUGGAGUUAGACCUUGUACUGCGGGACAAGGUCAUUCCUCGGUCUCCAAUUAUGAUUGCUGAGCAGUUACAAUUUGAAUUUCCCCUUCGUAAGAUGUCUCAAGUUAAAAUUUUUGCAGCUGUUUUUCUACACUAGAUGGUUACUGCCACCUGCUCAAUGAUUUUAGGCAUUCUGAUUCAUGCUUGAAAGAACGGCUGUCUUGGAUACUCAUCUCAAGCACCUAUCUCUACCCCUUCCCUUUUUGCCUCACGCAUUAUGUAGAGAAAUAUAGAAGUGUGGUGGGUUGACCUUGGCCAACCACCAGAUGUUCACCCAGUUCUUCUUCUCUCACUCCCCUCUCUCAACAGGAGGGGGGAGAAAAUAGGAUGGAAAAGCUUGCGGUCAAGACAAAGACAGAGAGACUGCUUACCAGUUACUGUCACAGGCAAACCAGACUCGACCUGGGGAAAAGUAAUUUAAUUUAUUGCCAAUUAAAAUAGAUUUUGGCAGUGAGAAACAAACAAACAAAAUAUUUAAACCAUACCUUUCCCCCACCCUCUCUUUUCUCAGGUCAACUUCACUCCUUCAUUCUUGAUUCUUCUAUCCCUCCCCAUCCCCUGAGUGGUAC
This is a long non-coding RNA of Harpia harpyja (harpy eagle), 2718 nucleotides long. RefSeq lists it as uncharacterized. The transcript is spliced from 3 exons. NCBI's taxonomy places the organism in Eukaryota, Metazoa, Chordata, Aves, Accipitriformes, Accipitridae. The record is from RefSeq and is a predicted model, not a curated record.